GUCUAGAGCAAUGCUACCCUGAACAAACAUGAUCCCAUCUGAUCUCGGAAGCUAAACAGGGUCAGGCCUGGUCAGUACUCGGAUGGAAGACCACCUAGGAAGACCAGGUGCUGUACGCG
Molecule: ribosomal RNA, 119 nt
Filed under: Pteropus alecto (black flying fox)
Lineage: Eukaryota; Metazoa; Chordata; Mammalia; Chiroptera; Pteropodidae
Source: RNAcentral